UGCAGUAGAACAUUAGCUUGUCAGACAGGAAGAACGAUUAUUACCCCACAGAGAAGCUGCAGUCACAGAACCAGGCCCAAGGUGAAGUUUCUCUAUAGACUGAGAAACUCAGCAGGAGAACAGCAGACCGUCAGAAUAUCAGGUCAUGGUGGAAACAGAGUAAAUAGUAAAAAUAGAGUUUGCUGUAAAUCACAUGUGCAGGGUGGAGCUUGUCUAUGCAAGGACUGAGAGGAAGAGGACAGCAGAACACCAGAUCUUUGGCAGCGUGAAGCAUUAAGUCUCCAUAGGUAUCUCCAGCUUGGAAGUAAGUGAGGAAUCAGGAGUUUAAAAAAAUGUCUAAGCCAAACUCAGGACAUAGCCUUGCUUCCCAGAUGCAGUUGGGCCCAGUAAUGUGUGC
This is a long non-coding RNA of Fundulus heteroclitus (mummichog), 397 nucleotides long. RefSeq lists it as uncharacterized. The record is from RefSeq and is a predicted model, not a curated record. Lineage: Eukaryota; Metazoa; Chordata; Actinopteri; Cyprinodontiformes; Fundulidae. The transcript has 3 exons.